This 449-nucleotide ribosomal RNA is filed under the name uncultured bacterium. RNAcentral describes it as "partial 16S ribosomal RNA". It matches the Rfam family "Bacterial small subunit ribosomal RNA", at positions 29 to 523 of the family's 1533-position model. The record is from RNAcentral.
AACGAACGCUGGCGGCAUGCCUAACACAUGCAAGUCGAACGAGAUCUUCGGGUCUAGUGGCGCACGGGUGCGUAACGCGUGGGAAUCUGCCCUUUGGUUCGGAAUAACAGUUGGAAACGACUGCUAAUACCGGAUGAUGACGAAAGUCCAAAGAUUUAUCGCCAGAGGAUGAGCCCGCGUAGGAUUAGCUAGUUGGUGUGGUAAAGGCGCACCAAGGCGACGAUCCUUAGCUGGUCUGAGAGGAUGAUCAGCCACACUGGGACUGAGAAACGGCCCAGACUCCUACGGGAGGCAGCAGUGGGGAAUAUUGGACAAUGGGCGAAAGCCUGAUCCAGCAAUGCCGCGUGAGUGAUGAAGGCCUUAGGGUUGUAAAGCUCUUUUCCCCGGGAUGAUAAUGACAGUACCGGGAGAAUAAGCUCCGGCUAACUCCGUGCCAGCAGCCGCCGUAA